CCUACGGGAGGCAGCAGUGGGGAAUAUUGGGCAAUGGAGGAAACUCUGACCCAGCGACGCCGCGUGCGGGAUGAAGGCCUUCGGGUUGUAAACCGCUUUCAGUAGGGAAGAAGCGAAAGUGACGGUACCUACAAAAGAAGCACCGGCUAACUAUGUUCCAGCAGCCGCGGUAAUACAUAGGGUGCAAGCGUUGUCCGGAAUUAUUGGGCGUAAAGAGCUCGUAGGUCGUUUGUUACGUCGGAUGUGAAAACCUGAGGCUCAACCUCAGGCCUGCAUUCGAUACGGGCAAACUAGAGUUUGGUAGGGGAGACUGGAAUUCCUGGUGUAGCGGUGGAAUGCGCAGAUAUCAGGAGGAACACCAAUGGCGAAGGCAGGUCUCUGGGCCAAUACUGACACUGAGGAGCGAAAGUCUGGGGAGCGAACAGGAUUACGAUACCCUGGUAGUCCAGACCGUAAACGGUGGGCACUAGUUGUGGGAACCUUCCACGGUUUCUGCGACGUAGCUAACGCAUUAAGUGCCCCGCCUGGGGAGUACGAUCGCGAGAGUAAACGUACGAAGAAGUAGACGGCGUGUAGACGUUGCGACGGACGACGACGAGGGAGGAGG
This 607-nucleotide ribosomal RNA is filed under the name uncultured bacterium. RNAcentral describes it as "bacterial SSU rRNA". It matches the Rfam family "Bacterial small subunit ribosomal RNA", at positions 338 to 954 of the family's 1533-position model. The record is from RNAcentral.